Molecule: long non-coding RNA, 4607 nt
Filed under: Ananas comosus (pineapple)
Lineage: Eukaryota; Viridiplantae; Streptophyta; Magnoliopsida; Poales; Bromeliaceae
Description: long non-coding RNA (ACOM_LNC031604)
Source: RNAcentral
CAACCGGCCUAAGAUUUGCUAGGUCUCCUAAGACUCAACCCUAGGCUCUGAUACCAAACUAAUCUGUUACGCUGCGAGACCCAGCGGAAGCCCGCCUGGGACGUGCCCAGACCCGCCAUAUGUCUAAAACAUACAUGGCGUCUAAAGAACAACGAUAAAAGAGCAAUAAUAAAAGAACAUCUAGAAGUAUCAGAGCAAUAUAAGUCUAGAUUUCUACAAUGAAGGGAAAGAACAAAAAGCCGAAAAUCCAUUAAAUCAAAGCAUAAAGUAGUACAAUGAAAAUCCCAAAUACAAAACUAAGCACAAGGAGUACACAGGUGGUCUCUACAUAUGGUACAAAAUCUUUCUCUCACACAAAUACAGUAAAUGAAAGAGUAAACCACCUAAGGUAAAGCGAAAUCUCCGCUAGCUAGCUAAGCGGCACCCUUGCCGCGAUCCGGUGCCUCCGCUGGUGCCAAAGGCUCUGAAAGAAACCAUAAAACAGGGGGCGUGAGAAUUAUUAAAAAUAGUUCCCAGUGAGCAAUUACUGACUUUAGUUGUAAUAUACCAGAUUUUGGUAAAAGAAAAAUAAAAAUAAAUAAAAAUAGUGUGGGAUACUAUUUUUAUUGGAUUUAGAGAAGUAAAACAUAAGUCAGAAUUGAUUUGUGCUGAAGUCGGAAUGAAAACAGAAGAUUUAGAAUUUUCUGUUGGAAACGAGACAGAUAAAUUAGCAGAAAAUGCACAGUCUCAGAAAAUUAUGAAAAUUGGCAGAGAUAUCAGAAAUAUUUAUAUGAGGCUAGAUUUAAAGUUUCAUAUUUUUCUGACACCCGAAAGGUGGAAAAUAAAAUCCCACAGUUAUCUGUUAAAGAUUAUAGUUCGGUAUAGUUUUCGGUAACCGAAUGGGGUCGAAACUGAACCAGUAAUCGUCAGCUUGUUAAGUUAAGUAAAACCGAGCAUGACUGUCAAGUUUGAGCUCAAACGGACAUUCAGAGAGCUCCGACGAAAGAUAUCAGAUUUUAAGUUGCCUGGAGUGAAUAGUGUUUGGUGUUGACUUUAAUUAGAAGCUAAUUAGCUUCUUCUCCUCCAUCAGCCGACCACCAUGGCCGACACACCUCUCACGCACGCAUGGAGGGAGAGAGAGACCUUCAUUUCUCUCUCUAAAUAUCUCUCUCAUCUCUCUAUAUCUCUCUGUAAAAAUUGGAGGGUUGGUGGAGAUCGAGUCUGCGAACGCGUUGGAGGCGACGGAUCGAGCUUUCGUGCGCCCGUUGGAGCGGCGUAUUUUCGUCGCGGCGUUCACAUUGAGGUAAGUUUUUGGGAUUUGGCUUAAUCCUUAGUUUUAAGUGUUCUAAUAGCCUCUAAUGAGCAUUCUAAACAUGUUUGCUCUAUUUAAUUUGGAUUAUUUAGAGGUUAAUUGCAUGUUAGGGCUCCGAAUGGGGUUUUGUAAAAUGUAUGGGUUUGAUCUCAUUUGACCCUCCGUAAACCAAAUUGCUAGGUAAACGAACGCGUUGGCGAAGACGGUUCGGCAAUCCGACGAGCCGUUACAAAGUUAUUAAAGAAAUAGACGUUUAGGCUUCGGGUCCGCCAGGAGGGCCGAGGCGACGUCGCAAAAUUAUGGAAAUGGAUUUGAAGCACCGUGGCACAUAACCGAAGACCUUUAAUAUUCGAAUCGUGGAUCGGAGGCCGUUCGGGUGGUCGCGCAAAAGAUCGGGCCAAACCGGGUUACGGAUGCCGCGGGAGGCCGAUUGCAAGUGUCGACAAGCAAUCGAAAAGCGUUUUGAGGUGGGUUGUGCUCACCGAAGCGAUUAGGUCGCUUUCCAUGCUAAAGUGUAGUAUGUUUACUAUUGAUGCAUGAUAAAGUAUGCUAUUUAAGAAUGCAUGAUAAAGAUUAAAGUAUGCUAUUUGAGAAUGCAUGAUAAAGUAUGCUAUUUAAGAAUGCAUGAUAAAGAUAGAUGCCAAAUGAAUGCAUGAGUUGAUGUUAAUUUACAUGUGCAUAUUAUAGAAAUGCUAAACAGAUGUCAAAUGAAAGUAUGAGAUUUAUGCUAACCGAGAAUGCAUGUAGUAAAUGUUAACGAAUGCAUAAAAUGUUAAGUAAUGACCACCAAUGGAUGACAAAAUAUAUGCAUGUUGAACAUAGAUCGAGUGGCAUUCGAAAUGAUAAAGUGGACACUAGAGUUAGUGUGGGACAACAAAGAAUAAAUGUGAUGUAAAGAAUAAUGAUAAUGGCUAAAGACAAUGUAAAACAAUGUGAUGAUAAUAAUGUAAUGUUGCAUGAUGUGAGUACACAUGCUUAUUAGAAUGAUUAAGAAUCUAAAUAAUCUAUGUGUAUGCAUGAGAUGUAAUGUGAGAACCUAAUGAUAAUGGUUAGAGACAAUGCAAAGUAAAAGAAAUGUAAAGAACAAUGAUUGCUAGAGUGACAAUAUAAAGUGAUGUAAAGAAUAAUGAUAAUGGUUAGAGACAAUGCAAAGUAAAAGAAAUGUAAAGAACAAUGAUUGCUAGAGUGGCAACAUAAAGUGAUGUAAAGAAUAAUGAUAAUGGCUAGAGGCAAUGUAAAGUAAUGUGGCAUAAAGAACGUGUAAAGUUAAAGAAUGUGAAAGCUAAAGAUAGCUUAAAGUAAAGGAAUGUAAAGAACGUGAUUGCUAGAGUUAGCAAAAGUAAAAGAAAUGUAAAGAACAAUGAUUGCUAGAGUGGCAACAUAAAGUGAUGUAAAGAACACUAGAGUUAGUGUGAAACCAUGAUCCAACUACAUAUCCUUAGAGUUAAUGAUUGAUCAUACUUGCUAUGAGUUCCGUGCUCGAGGGCGGUCGCUCCCCCUCGGGCGAUGCGCUCCGGAGUUUGGCAUCCGGGUUGGAGUAGACCCGUAAGGACGGUCCUAGCGGGUGAGUUCCUGCGAUAAUGGACUUAAUGUGAAGCAAGUUAAUGUGGCGAAACCUACGGGUUAGCCAAAAAGAAUCAUGAAUUGGAAAGUGGAUCUUGUAUACAUUAUAAAUUGACUCAAGACUGAGUCGAGUGGCAUAGUUGGCUAAGGUAAAUGUAACCUUAAGAAAGAGUGAUAAUUGAGAAAGCCUUGUUAAUGUUAUAAAGAAUGGCAAAUGUGUAUGAUGAGCCUAAGGUGCGAGUGCCCUUAGUAAAGGAUAAAGAACAAAGAAUAAUGCAUAAAGAAUAAAGCAUAAAGAAUAAAGAAUAAAGAAUAAAGAUUAAAGAAUAAAGAAUGGCUAAUGAUAAAGAAUUUCAUAUUCUAAAGAAAGGCUAAUGGUGAAGAAUGACUAAGAGUUGCAUAAUUUGCAUAUUUGUAAGGCAUGAACAUGUAUUGCAUGAUGUUAUAUGUAUAUAUAUCUGUUGGACUAACAUGUUACAGUGCCUCCUUUGGACCUGGUGGGUUGAGCUCUUCCCUUGGGUGGCUGUACCCACUGAGGACUAUGGACAAUAGUCUCACCCCCGUGUUGUUGUUUUUGGGGGUACAGGUUCACACGCGAGCGGCGCGGCGGCGCGAGGAAAGGGCGUAGCUCCGUAGUUAGCGCCCUACCACAAAGACCAGAUAGCAGCACCCUGAGUCGGCUUCUUAGGGGUAUAAGAAAAGAAAAGAAAAGAAUCGAUGUUGUAAUAUUAUGUUUAGAAAUCGAUUGUAUAUUUGGAAGUUGAGGAUCAAUGUAAUGAAAAAUGCGAUGUAAAAUGAUGAGAUAAAUGAUUGUAAUAAUAUAGGAUGUGUUAUGUUGUUUGAUACCUUCCUUAUGCAAUCGUUGUUGAAAAUUGUUCCUGUUUUGAACCUCUUGUACUUGUAUUGAUUGCGACGCCUUGAACGUACAGGGGAGACUCUGUCCGCGUGCAGGGGAAACCCUGUCCGUUUGGCGGUCUGUUGGCGUGCCCGAAUCCGACCAAAGAGGCGGGCUCGGGGCGUGACAUUAGUGAAAUGCGCCACAAGGUCCAAAACUGAACAAAAGAGAGUAAGUACGAGUAUAAUCAAGAGGAAUAACAACAACUAAACAUAAGUGCUUACUAAACCAUGAUGUCUCAACUCAGCAUGAAUUUGCAUAAUUAAUAGAGCUACUAUAACAUGAAUGUACAUGAAUGUGACUAGCAUGUAUAAGCAUGAAUAUGCAACCAACAGAAUGUCCACAAUGUAGAUAGUAAAAUGUCAUUGUUUACUAUUCUAGUCAAAGUCCAAAUGGCAUGUUCUGUCACUAAGUUCCAAUCAUGUAAGACCCACCCGUAGGCUGUCUGGCCUGCGCCGUGCCUAAUGGCUCCGUAGUAGUCAACAUCCCCACUCUAGGAAUGAGCCUCCCCCACGGCAUCCUAUUUCGGCGCCCAAUCCCGCACGAGCGAGUAUAUUUCGCGAUGGCUAUCUCCGGAGUGCCGGCUUGUAGGGAGCGGCCCUCACAAGCAUGUGCGAAUGAGCACAAUGGCAAGCAAGCGAAAGAUCUAUCUCAAGUACUAAGUCCUCAUGUCUAGAAAUAUGGAAUAUAUGUCACAUAUCCCAAUAGCCUAUCUCUAUGUCAUCAUGUCUAAAACAUGGAAUAUCACUUAUGUCUCAAUGGCCUAUCACUAUGUCAUCGUGUCUAAAACACGGAAUAUAGUCGAUGUCACAAUGGCCUAUUUCUAUGUCUCUAUGUUGCAGUUUCACAGUUUACUAA